Flavobacterium sp. is the source of this 143-nucleotide non-coding RNA. Lineage: Bacteria; Pseudomonadati; Bacteroidota; Flavobacteriia; Flavobacteriales; Flavobacteriaceae. The record is from Rfam.
CCCUAGCCCUGAUGGGAAUGGAAAGCCUCGAGGAAAUAAACCUAUUUUUCCUGGACCGACAGAGCGACCAACGGAAGCUCCUGACGGGACAAUAGGAAAAAUGGUUUAUGACCGAGAGCUUGUAAUGGACAGCAGGAAAUAGC